AACGGUUGUUGGUACCGUUGG
Molecule: unclassified non-coding RNA, 21 nt
Filed under: Dictyostelium discoideum
Lineage: Eukaryota; Evosea; Eumycetozoa; Dictyosteliales; Dictyosteliaceae
Source: RNAcentral